UCUGUCCUGAAGAAUGUUCUGUGUGUGCUUGAGAGAGAUAUAUAUUCUGCUGUUAUUGGUUGGAAUGUUCUGUAUACGUCUGUCACGUCCAGUUUGUUCACAGUGUUAUUCAAGUCCUCUGUCUCCUUGUUGAUCUUCUGUCUGGUUGUUCUCACCAUAACCUUUUGACUCUCAGAGUUUGUCUCAAACUCUCUUUCCCAGGCUGCUUGCCCAGGUCCCUGUCCUACACCUCCUCUUAGAUGAUUCACUGGCUCCUCAAACUCAACAUGUCUAAAAAAUACAUCUCUUCCCCCUCCUAAAUAUCUCUACCUUAUGGCUCUGCUUUCUUUGCUGGUGGACCCCCACUCCACUCAGAGUCCUGAGAGUCACUCACUCCCUGCUUUUUCUUGUUCUCCUCAUCAACUGGGUGGCCAUGGUCUGUUGAUAGACAUCUCUCCUGUCCUACUGCCAGCCUGACUCAGUCAUCCGUUGUCUCCCACCUAGUCUUUUUGGGCUUCAUUCUUAACUUCCUGCAUUCCUAUAUACCACCACCAGCCUAUCCUUCUCAGUCCUGCAUUUACAGUCUUAUUCUCCAGCUGACUCACAGUGGGCCUUGUCUAACGCUAGUCUCUCUCCUUGGACUGUGCUUUCCCUGGAUUUCAUCCCUGCAGCUCUGCCCACCUUCAGUCCAUCCCAAAUGCUGAUUUCCUUUUCCCUUUCUCCCUUUCAUCCUUCUUUUAUUAUUAUAUUGAAUACAAGUUGAGCAAGACAGACAUGGUAUAUGCCCUUAAGGAGCUUCCAUUCUUCUGGAGAGGAUGGACAGUUAAAUAUGCCUUGCCAUAAAGCCGGCAAACAUGUGGGAAAGCCAUGGCCUCACCUGACCAAAGCAGCUUAGUCAUUCUCGGCUGGUGGGAAAGCUUUCCUGAGGCUAUCUCAUACAAGGAGAUGAGGAAAGAGUACCCGCAGAUGAGGGAUUAGCAUAUGCAAAGAGCAUGCUUGUAUGCCAUCCAUGAUCCCUAACUGGUUGUAUAUUUGUGUUUCUAAUUGCUUUACUUAUAUUAACGCAUUCUGUCCUUAUAACAACACUAUGUCAUGUUCUGUUUCUGUCUUUAUUUUAAAGAUGAAGAAAUAAGGGCGCAUGGAUAUUUUGCAAUUUGUCCAAAGUCAUAUAGCCAAUAAAUGAUGGAACUGAGUUUGAAACUAGGCAGGUUGGCUCUAGAACUUGUGCUUUUGACUGCUACAUUAUAUAUAUAUAUAUCCCCUCUCCUCUUGCCCCAAGCAGCACAUAAAAAUCCCCCAUCCCCACUAGUGCUUGUGGAUGUGGUUGCCCUGCCGUCUCAUUUCCUUAUUUCUGAUAAGUUUCCACAUUUAUCAGAUUGGCUUAUUUCCCAUUUUUGGGCUGCCCUAGAUGCUGCUGAUGCUGAGUGAUCCUUUUUUCCAAAAAUCUUACAGUUCUUAGGGAGGAUUUUGAAUAUUUAGCAGCAGAAAUGGCUGUAAAAAAAAAAAACCCCAAAACACCAGCGGGUAUCUAGAAUGCUUUCAGUCUCAGUGAUAGAGUAUUGAUUGAAGAAUAUCAUCAAGGACCUGGGUUUGCUCUAUGUGCUCUGUCUUCCUCAGCAUGUGGCCUUUUAAUCUUUUGCUGUUGCCUUAUGAUCAUAAAGUAGCUGCUAGAGUGCCAGGCAUCACAACUGCAUUCAUGGUAGGAAAAAAGAUGGGUCUUACCUUUUUAUCCAGAAUAAAAUUUUUCCCACGUGUGCUCCAGUAUAUUUUCCCCUAUAUCUCAUAGUAAGAACUAGGUAGGAGUGCCAGAUAAGAUACUGGAUACCUAGUUAAAUUUUAAUUUGAGGUAAACAACACAAAAUUUUUUUAGUGUAAUUAUGUUUCAUGGAAUAUUUGGGACAUACUUAUACUAAAGUCAUGUGUUGCUUACCUGGAAUUCAAAUUUAACUGGGUGUCCCCCAUUUUUAUUUGCUAAAUCUGGGAACCCUAGAACUGCAUCUACUUGCAAGGGGGGCUGGGAAGUAGAAUAUCUGGCUUUCUGCCUUUUGCUAAUGCAAGAUGGGCAAGAGAGAAAAAUUGGAAAGCUUUUAGAUCAUUAGCUCCCCAAGGUGGAGUCAUUUUGAUUGUGUUUGCUCUACUUCAGAGAAUAUGUUUGUAUGAUGUCAGAAAAUUUAUGAAGUUCAAAGCAGAGUCCAACUAUAUUUUUAUCUUAGAGUUUUUUACUUUUUUGUAGGGAAGGCAUGGAUGGUCAGGAAUAAAAUAUCUGUUAUGGACAGGAUAUAUGUUCUUAUUUUGGUUUACUUUUUCGUAUCCCUCCUUGUUCCACAGAAGGAAUUGAGGUGGCUACAACAACACAAAAGGCAAACAUAACUGCUUAGGGGAGCUUGAACAUGAGUUAAACAAAAACAAAAGGCCCACAGUUGUGCAUAUCUUAUUGCCUCACACAGGUACUGGAAGUGGGCUACAAAUUUGACUCUCUCCCAGUCCUCUCAAGGAUUGAAACAUGAUUUAGUUUCCGUAAAAUUGCAAGCCAGCCUCGUUCUCAAGAAAGGCACAACUCUUCCUACCCAGAGGCCCGAGGAGCUUUUCCUGAGCAUCCUCAGUGAGAUCCCUGCAAGUGCUGUGGGCCUGGAUUUGUCAGCUGCUGCUCCAGGGUUCCGUGAUGCAAGCUGAUGAUUAAUACUGAAGUGAAAUUCUGUGGGGCCGACACAACGCAGUCCAAUCAUAUAGCUCUGGGACGCUGGAUUUAAGGCAAGAGUAGAAUUUAGAAAAUCUGGAAAACAUAGGACUGCAGAACUGAUAUGCCUAAAUAAUGUCCUGAAAGCUGGACGUUUUAUACAAGAUUCCAUGACAGGGAACUUAAGGUCAGAUCCUUCGGCAAAGACCUGGACGUCAAAUUGCCCCAGUGGUUGAGGUUCAAGUGCUUUAAGAGCCAGCCAGGUGGAGGGGCUGAGGUCUUCACAGGAAAACGCAAGAGUCCAUUGUACAAAAGGCAGAGCUUCGUUCUGAGGUAGCUGCAACAAAUGUAAAAUGGAGCAUUCCACACCCCUCCUUAAAAUCCCCAAGGACCCUUCUUCCCCUUGGUAUGAAAUCCAAGUCCUUCUCAUGGUCUACAAGACCCAAGACCCUGCGUGGUCUGGUCCCUCCUCACCUCUCCUACCUCAUCUUGUGCCUCUCUCCUCUUCCCAUGACACUCCUCUAGCCCUGCCUUCUUUCUUUUCCUUAACCUACCAAACUCUGCCUCUGCUGGCCUUUGCGCUUGCUGUUCCCUUUUCUGACUCAACUUUACCCCUUAAAGCUUUAAGCAUCACCUCCCCAGAAGGACUUUUCCCCAUCACCUUGUGUAAACUUUCCUGGUGGUUGUAACUUGGCAUCCUGUUUGUUGCUUUUGUGGUCCUUGCCUGAACUUGUCAUCAUUUUUAUCCAUUCCACAAGUAUUUUUCAAGCACUGAGAGACAGUGAAGCAAACAAACAAAUAAACCAAAAUAAUUACAGUGCUAAUUAAGUGCUCUGAUGACUCAAGGUAGUCAUAGUGUGGAAGAUGGUGUAAUCCUACCUGUACCAAGACAUUUGAUUUAUAGCUACUCUAGGAAAACAUCCUUGGGAUUCGGAUGUGGGGGACUCAUGCUAUCAUGACACAUGUUGGGCUCUUGCUUAAAUUUUGUCAGCUUGAGGAUCAGCACGAGAGAGGGAAAAAGAUGCCUCCAGUACCAACAACUCUUGAAAUAAUGCAGGCACUGUUUAAGUGAGGCAUCUCUCAAGGCCGGAUCACCGAUACCUGUUGGACCCCUGGAGGGUAAGACAGAUGUCAGGGAAUAAGAUCCAAGAUCUUGCUGAGCUCAGUGCUGGGAAAAUCAUCUUGCUCUGUCUUGAGAUAGAAUUUGCUAAACUCUGUGAUUAAGUGAGUAAUAAAGAGACCUGGGAGAGUUCUGGGAACUCAGGUAAGGCACAUUGUUCUGGUUUUACCCAUUGUUCUGGUUGUUUCCAAGUUGUGGAUGAGUUUUAGUGCUGGUUGUCUGAAGACUGAGGGGGCAUUGUGGCUUCCAGAGGGCAGAGGGGAGAGAAUUCAGAGACAUAAGGAGACGGGCCCCCUUAAGGAAGAGGUAGGGGUGGGCCUUGAGGAGUAGGAAUCAGGGAUGGGCCUUAGGAAUACCCUGGUGAAAUCAUGCUAAAAGGAACAUUACAGGAAACCAUGUAUAGGAAAAGGGCAGCUUUCUCCUUGGUGCUGGUGAUGAAGUGUGGUAGGUUGCAAAGAAUGGCUAUGAAGUCUUCUAGAGUCUCUCUCCACUCUUUGAAUUGAGAGUGGUCAUAUGAUUUGCUUUGACCAAUGGGACAAUAAGAAACAAGACCUGAGCAGCAACCUGACAGGUGCUUGUGCCCUGGAUUCACCUUCUCCUGCUGCUCUCAGAAACCAUGUGGCGACCAUGAUGUGAGUAAGCCUGGCCUCGUCUGUUGGAUGAGAAGACCACGUGGAGCAGAGGUGGGCUGUCCCAGAUGAGAUGAGGCAAGAGAUGAGGCCCUCCCUAGACCCAGACCCCAGCCAACUCAGCAGCUGACCGCAGAUGUACAAGUGAGCCCAGAUGAGAUCAGCCAAGCCAGCCCAGACUAGAAGAACUGCUCAGCCAACUCGCAGAAUCAUGAGCUCACUGAAUGGUUGCUUUAAGCUACUAUGUUUGGGGAUGGUUUAUUACCCCUCUGUAGCUAACCAAUACUGUUACCAGCUCUUAGAUAAAUAUCAACCCUGAUACUGGUUCCCCUACAGUGAACCCAGCAUAUAUGGGUUAAAACUAAAAGUGCUCAUUUCCAGUUCCCUGGUUCUUUAGUUACCCUCAUAUACUCCUUAUACUGCUUAACUCCUUAUAUUCCUUAAACUCCUCAAACUCUGACUCCCUGAGCUUUACAACCAAAUAGAAGUUACAAGUUGUUAAAGUCCAGAUGGCUUCAUGCUGAGUUCCCACUAAAGUUGUGGCUAAUCACAGGACCUUGAAGUUCUUUUACAGAGAAACUAAUGUCCAGAGACUAUCAAGAGACCAAAGCUUCCCAGACCCAACUCCACGACUUCCUGACGUCAGUCUACCUUCCAUCAUGGAGACAAACAGCCAAGGACACUUGUCUGAGAAAUCCUUUGUCUCCUCCACUAUAAGCAGCCGCAAACACAGGCUGAUGGGAAAAUGCUGACCAAGAAGGCCACAGCCCCCCUCCCCUACCUAAAGCCCCACAUAAAAACCUCUACCCAUUUCUUAACGGGGAGCUUGCAAUUUUUGAGGUACUAGCCCUUGCUUUGCUCCCUCUGCCUGGCAAAGUAAAGCCUUUCCUUUUCCACCCAAGACUCUGUUCUCAUUAUUUGGAUUGGCAUUGGGAUCAGAGACCAAACUUUGGGUAACAAUGCAGGUUCCGGGUGUGGGUUGGGAGGAAGAAGGCAAUUAUUGGGUGAUUGGUUCCUUCAUUAAUGCUUUGUGCCAAGCUGUGUGCUAGGAAUAAAGAUUUAACAGUGGACAUGGCAGACAUGGUCUCUGAGCUCACAGAGCACCAUCUAGCAGUGGCCCCAGAUAGAGAGCCUGGCUAUUUCAGUGUCUUGUGGCAAGUCCAGAAGGGUGCUAUAGGAGGUGCUGGGAAAGAGAGAGGUGAGUAUGCUGAGACCUGAGGAUGUUCCAGGUGAGUGGGACCCGGAGGGGGGGUGGUGAAAGAGGGAAGGAAGUUUCUGACUGUAAUACAGUAUGGAAUGAUUGAGAAGCGGAGAUGAGUCCCACUUGGCUGGAGCAAUGUGCUUCCGAGGGGCACAGAUUUCCUCUUGGGAGUCACAAAGUCUUCCCAGGAGUUUUACAAGGAUACUUUUUCAAUUUUUUUAUUGAGGUCUUAUUGGUUUAUAACGUGUAACUUCAGGUUACAUAUACAUGAUAUACAUUAUUCUAUAUCAGUUUCUGUAUAGACUGCAUCUUGCUCACACCCAAUAGUCUAGUUUUUAUCUGUCACCAUACACCUGUGCCCCUUUACCCCUUUCACCCUUCCUCCACCCCCUUCCUCCCUGGUAACCACUAAUCUGUUCUCCUUAUCCACGUCUCACAAGGAUGCUUUUAAGGGAUCCCUUCCCAGCGGAGGUGGUGUUUCCCCCAAGGGUUCAAAAAUUGGGUCUUGGGGGGUGGUUUGUAGCCCUCCAAAGGGCAGCACUACAUAAACAGAUAGACCAUAUAUCUAUGGUAUUAAAACUUAAUAGAGGGGGUGAUUAGGAAGGAAAAAGUCUGAAAGUCUUCAUGGUGGGGAGAUAAUGAAAAAGAAACUGUUUGAAGGGCAUCCAUUUCCAGAUCCUCACCUCGUGUGAUCCACUCCCUUUCCCCAUUGCCCUUCUCCCACUUCACAGAACAUAAUUCUCGCUCAUCCCAAAUCUUCACUGGUGUUUUGCCCUGGGAAUUAAAAUCUGGGUUGGGAUACAAUUAGAAAUACUGAGGUGGGCAUUGAGAAAGUGAAUAAUAAUAAUGACCAAGGAUCAAAUUCUUUUUUAGGUUUGAGAAGAAGUCUUUGCUUUCAACAAAAUUGAAGGGGAAUAUGAUAGCGUUGUCAGCUUGAUUAAAAUUUUUUUAGAAGAAUAGACACUAUGUUAUUUUUGGCAUAUAACUCUAAAGGUGUUCAAAGAAGUGUGUAGCAUUGCUAUAGAAAACCGCUUACAAUCCUCCUCUAUUUAUUUUUGUGAAAGGUCUCUCCAUGCCUAUAUCUACAAAAAGGAAAAAUGGAAAUUGAAUUGAGACUGAACACUGUCUCCUAGAAAUAAGCUAUAGUCAUCUUGGGAUAUAUAAAGUCAUUGAAUAAAUAAGUAAAACCUGCUCUACCCAUCUCAUUAAAAGAUACAUUUCCAAUAAAAUUUUCUUUUAUGUUUAAUAACUAUCAACAUUUGUAGUAUAGUUGGGUUAUAUUGAUCAAUUGUCUAUUAAUAAUAAUUGUAAUGAUAAUUCAAUCCAGAAGGGAAUAAAAUGAGCAUUUAGACCCAACAGUCACAUAAAAUGUAUUAAAGUAUUAAUUUCUCUCUCUGUAUAUAUACGUAUAAAAAAUAUAUAUGCUAUGUGCUGUGUAUAAUAUAGAUAUGAUUUUGUUUGGGAGGGUAUGAUAGGGUGAUCAAUAAAAACCUUUUGAGCUUAAAAAAAUCUAGGGUAGGAGGUUAACUAGAAUGAAAAUACAAGUUCAUGGAGUAACAGGAGCCACGUAAAAUUUCCAACUUCUGGAGAUGAGCUUGUUUGUGUAUUUUUAAAACAGAUAUUGGGUAGAUAAAAAAAGUCAUGAUGGUAUUUGCAUUCCACUGUAUACCUUUAAAAGAAUUACAUGAUGGUUUUAACUUAAAACUACAACAUUUAUAAUAUACUGGAAAUUACGUUCUUUGCAAUUAUAACACACACAAGUAUAUCCUUUAAAAAUUUAUACAAAAGUGCUCAUGCCCUACACACUAUACUUUGCCUUGCUUUUUUCACUUAAUAAAACACUUAUGUUUUCAUUUAAUAAAAAAUUAGUGGUGUUUCCGUAUGAGUACGCAUGGAUCAACCUCAUUUUCAUCAACUACAUAGUAUUUCUUGGUUUAGAUCUAGUGGAAUAUAUUUAACUGUUCAUGGUCAUUUUAGUAAUUUCUAGUUUUUUGCUUAUGUACAAUGCUGCAACGGAUAUCUUUGAACAACUGUUAUGGAAAGUUUUUGUGCAUUUAUUUGAAGGGUGAAUUUUUAGCAAUGGGAUUGCCAGAUCAGAGGUAGUGUGCAUUUCACAUUUUGAAAAAUGCUCCCCCAAUUUUCUCCCAAUAGGCUGUACUUUCCACCAGUGGGAUUUGAAAGGAUCAGUUUUUCACAUCUCUCUCAGCCCAGGAAAAAAUAUAAGAUGCCCAAUUGGUCUAAGUUUUUGCUCUGUUGGAAAGUUAAUUUCUUGUAAGAAGAGGACAGAAACUCAACUCCAACUGGCUUAAGAAAGAAAGAAAAAGAUCAUCUGGGGGCACAAUAUAGAUAUCACCAAUCUCGUUCUCCCUCUGGGCUCUAUUUUCUUUUGCAUGGCUCCAUUCUCUUCUGGCUCAUCCUUCAUGGUGGCAAAGAUGGCCGCAGGCAGCUCCACGUCUAUAGCCUUCCCCUCAGCAACCCCAGAGAAAGGCCACUUCUCAUUCCCUAAAAUCUCCAGAGAAAUUCCUGGAACUGCAUGUUAAUGGCCUGACUUGGAUCAUAUGCCCAUCGUUGAACAGUCAGGAUGGCCUGGGAGAUGAAAUGUCUGAUUGGAUGAACCUAGGUCAAUGCCAAAUCCUUUCAGGGAUGAGGACGAUAAAGUUAGAGGAGCUGAAUGGUGAGCGGAAGUGUGUCAGCCCUACCCAGGUUAUGUGAACAGAGAGUGGAAGACCUCUGGUUUCCCCAAGGAAAAUCAAGAUGCUGUUACGCAAGGAAGGAGGGAUCUCAAGCAGACACGAAUGCCAAAUAUCCAAUAUGGUGACAGAGCAGGAGAGAGGGCAAGUGUGAGAGAAAGAUUGUCAGGGAAGCCAACCACCGAUGCAGAGGUAAAAGAGAUUUUUGUAAUUUUAAGAAAAGUGACUUUUUUCAGCAAUUGAGAAAGAAUUAUUACACUAAUGUUCAUAGCAGCAUUAUUCACAAUAGUCAAAAAUGGAAAUAACCUAAGUGUCCAUCACCAAAUGAAUGGGUAAAUAAAAUGUGGGUAUGUAUA
Equus caballus (horse) is the source of this 8652-nucleotide non-coding RNA. Lineage: Eukaryota; Metazoa; Chordata; Mammalia; Perissodactyla; Equidae. The record is from RefSeq and is a predicted model, not a curated record.